Molecule: ribosomal RNA, 1573 nt
Filed under: Escherichia coli
Lineage: Bacteria; Pseudomonadati; Pseudomonadota; Gammaproteobacteria; Enterobacterales; Enterobacteriaceae
Description: partial 23S ribosomal RNA
Rfam family: Bacterial large subunit ribosomal RNA
Source: RNAcentral
CUGUAAGCCUGUGAAGGUGUACUGUGAGGUAUGCUGGAGGUAUCAGAAGUGCGAAUGCUGACAUAAGUAACGAUAAAGCGGGUGAAAAGCCCGCUCGCCGGAAGACCAAGGGUUCCUGUCCAACGUUAAUCGGGGCAGGGUGAGUCGACCCCUAAGGCGAGGCCGAAAGGCGUAGUCGAUGGGAAACAGGUUAAUAUUCCUGUACUUGGUGUUACUGCGAAGGGGGGACGGAGAAGGCUAUGUUGGCCGGGCGACGGUUGUCCCGGUUUAAGCGUGUAGGCUGGUUUUCCAGGCAAAUCCGGAAAAUCAAGGCUGAGGCGUGAUGACGAGGCACUACGGUGCUGAAGCAACAAAUGCCCUGCUUCCAGGAAAAGCCUCUAAGCAUCAGGUAACAUCAAAUCGUACCCCAAACCGACACAGGUGGUCAGGUAGAGAAUACCAAGGCGCUUGAGAGAACUCGGGUGAAGGAACUAGGCAAAAUGGUGCCGUAACUUCGGGAGAAGGCACGCUGAUAUGUAGGUGAAGUCCCUCGCGGAUGGAGCUGAAAUCAGUCGAAGAUACCAGCUGGCUGCAACUGUUUAUUAAAAACACAGCACUGUGCAAACACGAAAGUGGACGUAUACGGUGUGACGCCUGCCCGGUGCCGGAAGGUUAAUUGAUGGGGUCAGCGCAAGCGAAGCUCUUGAUCGAAGCCCCGGUAAACGGCGGCCGUAACUAUAACGGUCCUAAGGUAGCGAAAUUCCUUGUCGGGUAAGUUCCGACCUGCACGAAUGGCGUAAUGAUGGCCAGGCUGUCUCCACCCGAGACUCAGUGAAAUUGAACUCGCUGUGAAGAUGCAGUGUACCCGCGGCAAGACGGAAAGACCCCGUGAACCUUUACUAUAGCUUGACACUGAACAUUGAGCCUUGAUGUGUAGGAUAGGUGGGAGGCUUAGAAGUGUGGACGCCAGUCUGCAUGGAGCCGACCUUGAAAUACCACCCUUUAAUGUUUGAUGUUCUAACGUUGACCCGUGAUCCGGGUUGCGGACAGUGUCUGGUGGGUAGUUUGACUGGGGCGGUCUCCUCCUAAAGAGUAACGGAGGAGCACGAAGGUUGGCUAAUCCUGGUCGGACAUCAGGAGGUUAGUGCAAUGGCAUAAGCCAGCUUGACUGCGAGCGUGACGGCGCGAGCAGGUGCGAAAGCAGGUCAUAGUGAUCCGGUGGUUCUGAAUGGAAGGGCCAUCGCUCAACGGAUAAAAGGUACUCCGGGGAUAACAGGCUGAUACCGCCCAAGAGUUCAUAUCGACGGCGGUGUUUGGCACCUCGAUGUCGGCUCAUCACAUCCUGGGGCUGAAGUAGGUCCCAAGGGUAUGGCUGUUCGCCAUUUAAAGUGGUACGCGAGCUGGGUUUAGAACGUCGUGAGACAGUUCGGUCCCUAUCUGCCGUGGGCGCUGGAGAACUGAGGGGGGCUGCUCCUAGUACGAGAGGACCGGAGUGGACGCAUCACUGGUGUUCGGGUUGUCAUGCCAAUGGCACUGCCCGGUAGCUAAAUGCGGAAGAGAUAAGUGCUGAAAGCAUCUAAGCACGAAACUUGCC